RNAcentral lists this ribosomal RNA (468 nucleotides) under uncultured bacterium. Its description in RNAcentral is "partial 16S ribosomal RNA". It matches the Rfam family "Bacterial small subunit ribosomal RNA", at positions 28 to 507 of the family's 1533-position model. The record is from RNAcentral.
GACGAACGCUGGCGGCGUGCUUAACACAUGCAAGUCGAACGGAAAGGCCCUGCUUUUGUGGGGUGCUCGAGUGGCGAACGGGUGGGUAACACGUGAGUAACCUGCCCUUGACUUUGGGAUAACUUCAGGAAACUGGGGCUAAUACCGGAUAGGAGCUCCUGCUGCAUGGUGGGGGUUGGAAAGUUUCGGCGGUUGGGGAUGGACUCGCGGCUUAUCAGCUUGUUGGUGGGGUAGUGGCUUACCAAGGCUUUGACGGGUAGCCGGCCUGAGAGGGUGACCGGCCACAUUGGGACUGAGAUACGGCCCAGACUCCUACGGGAGGCAGCAGUGGGGAAUAUUGCACAAUGGGCGGAAGCCUGAUGCAGCAACGCCGCGUGCGGGAUGACGGCCUUCGGGUUGUAAACCGCUUUCGCCUGUGACGAAGCGUGAGUGACGGUAAUGGGUAAAGAAGCACCGGCUAUCUACGUG